Molecule: ribosomal RNA, 427 nt
Filed under: uncultured bacterium
Lineage: Bacteria
Description: bacterial SSU rRNA
Rfam family: Bacterial small subunit ribosomal RNA
Source: RNAcentral
AAUGAACGCUGGCGGCAUGCCUAACACAUGCAAGUCGAACGAGACCCCUGACUUCGGUUGGCGGGUCUAGUGGCGCACGGGUGCGUAACGCGUGGGAAUCUGCCCUUAGGUCCGGAAUAACUCAGGGAAACUUGAGCUAAUACCGGAUGAUGACGUAAGUCCAAAGAUUUAUCGCCUAAGGAUGAGCCCGCGUAGGAUUAGCUUGUUGGUGAGGUAAAGGCUCACCAAGGCGACGAUCCUUAGCUGGUCUGAGAGGAUGAUCAGCCACACUGGGACUGAGACACGGCCCAGACUCCUACGGGAGGCAGCAGUGGGGAAUAUUGGACAAUGGGCGAAAGCCUGAUCCAGCAAUGCCGCGUGAGUGAUGAAGGCCUUAGGGUUGUAAAGCUCUUUUACCCGGGAAGAUAAUGACUGUACCGGAGAAUAA